Molecule: long non-coding RNA, 2535 nt
Filed under: Phaseolus vulgaris (common bean)
Lineage: Eukaryota; Viridiplantae; Streptophyta; Magnoliopsida; Fabales; Fabaceae
Description: long non-coding RNA (PVUL_LNC001667)
Source: RNAcentral
GGAAGCUCGAAGUUACUCAAAGGAGAACCAACAGGCACCGACAUGUCACCAGAUUGUGUUACCUGAGUCCCCUUUUCCCUACACAAGUACAGAAUCGAUUCUCUACAAGGUAACCUGAGUCCCCUUUUCCCUACACAAGUAUAGAAUCGAUUCUCUACAAGGUAAGUUCCACGAUCCGUUCCUUUAUAUUUUACCCAAACUGCAAACCGAUUUCCUGCGCGACUUUGUUCUGCGCAUGGUUAUGAGUUUUUGCUAGUGCGAUUUUUUUUUCCAGUUCUCCAUAACUAGAGUGAUUAUAGGUUGGAUUAUCCCAUAAUCAAGCUCUGUGAAGAAGGAAAGUACAUAAUUCAAAUUAAGUGUUUGGAUGAAGAGAAAAUCCUAAACUAGCUACUUAGAUUUUGGCUAUUUGAGAAGUUAGCUAGUUAGUUACCUUGAAGUAAGUAACCGGCAUCACUAUGAUUUUAGCGCAUUCUAAUUAAGUUCUUACAUUAUAUCUUUCUCAUGUUAUAAUAUUAGGAUAUUAGUAAGUGUUUAUGAUAUUAUUAGUGUUUUUAUAUAAAUUUUCUUUUCCAUUCAGUUCAUGUUCUCUCCUUUCUGGUUUGUUCUUUGCCUUGCUUCUUGUAGGAUUUGUUUUAUAAAAUGUAGCUAUGAUUUUUUCAGUCCUGCAUAAUUCUCUAUUUUCCGACUCCAGCAAUGUUUACGAGUCACAUGAAUCUGAUACAUGUAGUCUUUUAAGAGAUGGAGUUACAAUUUUGUAUCAAGUUUAUUUGCUCUACUGUAACUAUUAUUAGAGUUCACACAAUGUCUUACCAGAAUUUGUUAGUAUAAAUUUAUACUUUCAUGUCUGUUGUUUUUCCAUUACAUAAACAAGUGUAGCUACGUUCAAAAUAUUCUCUGUUGAGAAGAGGAAGUGUGAGAAUAAGACCAGUUCUCUAUGUUCAUCUUAAAAAAAGAGUUGCCAAAUUGAAAUUUUGGUCUCUAACUUCUUUCAUUAAUUCUCUCUCUACUUAUAGGAUUUUAUUUACAAACUGAACUUUCUUUUUAAAGUUUUGGUUUUCAAAAUUGAAUGUUUGUCUUCCUUAUUGAUUAAUGGAUAACUAACAGUAUUGUCUGCAUGUAUUUAUUGUUUUCAAAGGAAGAAGAGUGGUCAGGGACCCCGGUAUGCGUAGUUUCGGAUUGAGGGUGGAGUUAUGGGGAUACCUUGUCAUAUCAGGUGGUUCUAUGGAGUAGUGUAAACGAGGUAUGUCACUACUAGAUGGUUGUGUUAAAGCUGGAAGAUUCUGCAAGUGGAGCUAGUCGGUGGUGGAUAGGAUGGCUAAUCCUCAUGUCUGGUAGAGUCAGUUUUUGAAUGCCCACCUGUUUAUCCUCAUGGCUGGAAGUGGCAGCUGUUGAUUGCCCACCAGCGUAUUGAGAGGUUGGCCUUUUUUGCAGUGCCAACAUGGUCCUAUUCUGGAACAGCGGCGUAAAGAAAAGCACAGGAUGUCCUGGAAUCAUGUCCACCGCUUGUCAGCACUGAGAGUUGAAGUAAGAUAUUGUAAAUAUCUUUGGUAAUCAUGAUGGUGGGAUUAUACCCAUGGCCUUCAACGUGGAUAUCCCUAAAUGGCAAACAAAACUUGGGAGACUCUAUCUUCUGCAGAACAUACCCCAUAAGGAUGUGGCAUUGUAACAGAUGAGAUGUGUGGUAUAGAAUCAUGGUGGCUUAAUAGUUGUUGUGGUGUUUAAAUCUCCUUGGAAAGAAAGGUUCAUAUGAACCUGCGCCCUAUACAUGAACCACAGGUAUGCAGAGCAGGGACAUACGUGGUAGCAAUUGGUAGAGGGAUAAGCACACGAGGCAACCACGUGGGUAUUCGUUUGGUGUGAAGUCAACAACACCUGCACGACUUGUCCUAUCUGUAUUUUAAUGUACUGCAUAAGCUGUUAGCAGGGAUUGAAGUCUGGAGCGGUGGACUAUAGGUGAUAUGGUAAGAUGGGCUUGGCUAGUUGUGAUGAAGGCACUGCAAUGACUGAGCUCGGUGCAAGUUGGAAUCGAGGAGCCCCAAGAUGAAGGCUAGGGUCGGUAUAGCGUAGAUAAGGAACGGUAUGGAGAAAGGGUAAGAGGUGUGCCAAAAUUCAUACACGGAUAAAUAUCCCAAAAGGAAAGAUAACGGAGGCACUUGCUGUGGAUGGAAAAUAGGUCCUGUGUGGUAGCUUAUGGUACACGAAGAAUUGGAACUGCUAGUAUUUCGUGAGCCCAAUUAGUGGAGACUUUUUAAAUAGGGUGUUACAGAUGUUGAGUUGAAUGGAAGAGGGGGAUGGUGUCUCCCAGUUAUGUUGCAGUGAAUUUCUUGGGCAGUAAUUGGUAGAGGACGGUAGAAGUUUUAAUAGCUCUAUCUAUUCUUAGUUUUUCUGUUGCUUUAAGUACUUUUUGUAUAUGGGUUGGGACACCCCUUAAGUGUCCCAGGUUUAAUUAAAUUAAUUCUUUGCUGAUAAAAAAAAAAAAAAAUUUAUUGUUUUCAAAUAUAUAAAUGUUUAUGCAUAUAUAUAUAUAUAUAUAUA